GAUGAACGCUGGCGGCGUGCCUAAUACAUGCAAGUCGAGCGAACAGACGAGGAGCUUGCUCCUCUGACGUUAGCGGCGGACGGGUGAGUAACACGUGGAUAACCUACCUAUAAGACUGGGAUAACUUCGGGAAACCGGAGCUAAUACCGGAUAAUAUAUUGAACCGCAUGGUUCAAUAGUGAAAGACGGUUUUGCUGUCACUUAUAGAUGGAUCCGCGCCGCAUUAGCUAGUUGGUAAGGUAACGGCUUACCAAGGCAACGAUGCGUAGCCGACCUGAGAGGGUGAUCGGCCGCACUGGAACUGAGACACGGUCCAGACUCCUGCGGGAGGCAGCAGUAGGGAAUCUUCCGCAAUGGGCGAAAGCCUGACGGAGCAACGCCGCGUGAGUGAUGAAGGUCUUCGGAUCGUAAAACUCUGUUAUUAGGGAAGAACAAAUGUGUAAGUAACUAUGCACGUCUUGACGGUACCUAAUCAGAAAGCCACGGCUAACUACGUG
Molecule: ribosomal RNA, 497 nt
Filed under: uncultured bacterium
Lineage: Bacteria
Description: partial 16S ribosomal RNA
Rfam family: Bacterial small subunit ribosomal RNA
Source: RNAcentral